Molecule: ribosomal RNA, 800 nt
Filed under: Arthrobacter sp.
Lineage: Bacteria; Bacillati; Actinomycetota; Actinomycetes; Micrococcales; Micrococcaceae
Description: bacterial SSU rRNA
Rfam family: Bacterial small subunit ribosomal RNA
Source: RNAcentral
UGAUGUAGGGGAGACUGGAAUUCCUGGUGUAGCGGUGAAAUGCGCAGAUAUCAGGAGGAACACCGAUGGCGAAGGCAGGUCUCUGGGCAUUAACUGACGCUGAGGAGCGAAAGCAUGGGGAGCGAACAGGAUUAGAUACCCUGGUAGUCCAUGCCGUAAACGUUGGGCACUAGGUGUGGGGGACAUUCCACGUUUUCCGCGCCGUAGCUAACGCAUUAAGUGCCCCGCCUGGGGAGUACGGCCGCAAGGCUAAAACUCAAAGGAAUUGACGGGGGCCCGCACAAGCGGCGGAGCAUGCGGAUUAAUUCGAUGCAACGCGAAGAACCUUACCAAGGCUUGACAUGAACCGGAAAGACCUGGAAACAGGUCCCCCGCUUGCGGUCGGUUUACAGGUGGUGCAUGGUUGUCGUCAGCUCGUGUCGUGAGAUGUUGGGUUAAGUCCCGCAACGAGCGCAACCCUCGUUCUAUGUUGCCAGCGCGUGAUGGCGGGGACUCAUAGGAGACUGCCGGGGUCAACUCGGAGGAAGGUGGGGACGACGUCAAAUCAUCAUGCCCCUUAUGUCUUGGGCUUCACGCAUGCUACAAUGGCCGGUACAAAGGGUUGCGAUACUGUGAGGUGGAGCUAAUCCCAAAAAGCCGGUCUCAGUUCGGAUUGGGGUCUGCAACUCGACCCCAUGAAGUCGGAGUCGCUAGUAAUCGCAGAUCAGCAACGCUGCGGUGAAUACGUUCCCGGGCCUUGUACACACCGCCCGUCAAGUCACGAAAGUUGGUAACACCCGAAGCCGGUGGCCUAACCCCUU